GCCAGGACUUCAUCCGUGCCAACGCCGCCGCCAUUCGGGCGGUCGUCGGCAACUCCAAAGCUGGCGCUGACGCGGACACCAUCGACGCCCUUCCCCGGCUCGAGAUCGUUGCCUGCUUCAGCGUCGGCCUCGACAAGGUCGACCUCGCCAAGUGCCGGGAGCGGGGCAUCCGGGUCACCAAUACGCCCGACGUCCUCACCGAGGACGUCGCCGACCUCGCCAUCGGGCUAGCCAUCGCCGUCCUGCGCCGCCUUUGCCAGGCCGAUCGGUACGUCCGGAGCGGG
RNAcentral lists this long non-coding RNA (284 nucleotides) under Musa acuminata (dwarf banana). RNAcentral describes it as "long non-coding RNA (MACU_LNC001066)". The record is from RNAcentral. Lineage: Eukaryota; Viridiplantae; Streptophyta; Magnoliopsida; Zingiberales; Musaceae.